This 485-nucleotide ribosomal RNA is filed under the name uncultured bacterium. Its description in RNAcentral is "partial 16S ribosomal RNA". It matches the Rfam family "Bacterial small subunit ribosomal RNA", at positions 28 to 507 of the family's 1533-position model. The record is from RNAcentral.
GAUGAACGCUAGCUACAGGCUUAACACAUGCAAGUCGAGGGGCAGCAUGACCUAGCAAUAGGUUGAUGGCGACCGGCGCACGGGUGAGUAACACGUAUCCAACCUGCCGAUUAUUCCGGGAUAGCCUUUCGAAAGAAAGAUUAAUACUGGAUAGCAUAACGAGAAGGCAUCUUCUUGUUAUUAAAGAAUUUCGAUAAUCGAUGGGGAUGCGUUCCAUUAGUUUGUUGGCGGGGUAACGGCCCACCAAGACAUCGAUGGAUAGGGGUUCUGAGAGGAAGGUCCCCCACAUUGGAACUGAGACACGGUCCAAACUCCUACGGGAGGCAGCAGUGAGGAAUAUUGGUCAAUGGACGAGAGUCUGAACCAGCCAAGUAGCGUGAAGGAUGACUGCCCUAUGGGUUGUAAACUUCUUUUAUAUGGGAAUAAAGUGGGCCACGUGUGGCUUUUUGUAUGUACCAUACGAAUAGGGAUCGGCUAACUCCGUG